Molecule: ribosomal RNA, 426 nt
Filed under: uncultured bacterium
Lineage: Bacteria
Description: bacterial SSU rRNA
Rfam family: Bacterial small subunit ribosomal RNA
Source: RNAcentral
GACGAACGCUGGCGGCGUGCUUAACACAUGCAAGUCGAACGGUAAGGCCUUUCGGGGUACACGAGUGGCGAACGGGUGAGUAACACGUGGGUGAUCUGCCCUGCACUUCGGGAUAAGCUUGGGAAACUGGGUCUAAUACCGGAUAGGACCACGGUCUGCAUGGAUUGUGGUGGAAAGCUUUUGCGGUGUGGGAUGGGCCCGCGGCCUAUCAGCUUGUUGGUGGGGUGAUGGCCUACCAAGGCGACGACGGGUAGCCGGCCUGAGAGGGUGUCCGGCCACACUGGGACUGAGAUACGGCCCAGACUCCUACGGGAGGCAGCAGUGGGGAAUAUUGCACAAUGGGCGCAAGCCUGAUGCAGCGACGCCGCGUGGGGGAUGACGGCCUCGGUUGUAACGUACUUCUAGUCAGGACGAAGGGUAGGACGU